CCUACGGUGAGGCAGCAGUGGGGAAUAUUGGACAAUGGGCGAAAGCCUGAUCCAGCCAUGCCGCGUGUGUGAAGAAGGCCUUCGGGUUGUAAAGCACUUUCAGUGGGGAAGAAAGCCUUGGGGCUAAUACCCUCGAGGAAGGACAUCACCCACAGAAGAAGCACCGGCUAACUCCGUGCCAGCAGCCGCGGUAAUACGGAGGGUGCGAGCGUUAAUCGGAAUUACUGGGCGUAAAGCGCGCGUAGGCGGUCUGAUAAGCCGGUUGUGAAAGCCCCGGGCUCAACCUGGGAACGGCAUCCGGAACUGUCAGGCUAGAGUGCAGGAGAGGAAGGUAGAAUUCCCGGUGUAGCGGUGAAAUGCGUAGAGAUCGGGAGGAAUACCAGUGGCGAAGGCGGCCUUCUGGACUGACACUGACGCUGAGGUGCGAAAGCGUGGGUAGCAAACAGGAUUAGAUACCCUAGUAGUC
RNAcentral lists this ribosomal RNA (466 nucleotides) under Vreelandella stevensii. RNAcentral's name for it is "partial 16S ribosomal RNA". It matches the Rfam family "Bacterial small subunit ribosomal RNA", at positions 338 to 795 of the family's 1533-position model. The record is from RNAcentral. Lineage: Bacteria; Pseudomonadati; Pseudomonadota; Gammaproteobacteria; Oceanospirillales; Halomonadaceae.